UACAGAGGUCUCGAGCGUUAGGCGGAAUCACUGGGCUUAAAGCGUGUGUAGGCGGAUCGGUAAGUACCUUGUGAAAUCCCACAGCCUAACUGUGGAACUGCUUGGUAUACUGCCAGUCUUGAGCCAGCUAGGGGCUACCGGAACAAAUGGUGGAGCGGUGAAAUGCGUAGAUAUCAUUUGGAACGCCAAUGGUGAAAACAGGUAGCUGGGGCUGUGCUGACGCUGAGACACGAAAGCCAGGGGAGCGAACGGG
Molecule: ribosomal RNA, 253 nt
Filed under: uncultured bacterium
Lineage: Bacteria
Description: partial 16S ribosomal RNA
Rfam family: Bacterial small subunit ribosomal RNA
Source: RNAcentral